GCUUCCUGUCUGGGCAUGAGUCCGGCGCGUGUCGGGUUUUGAGCUGCCGCGGUCCCGGGACUGAGCUCCUUGGGAGCAGACAGCUGUCCUCACUGGCAGAGGAGGAGCGCUCAGUAAAUGCUCGCUGGACGGAUAAAUGACUAGAUAAGAUAAGGCAGCUCCAGCCCCUGGAAGGCCAGAGACUUGCCAGUGUCCCACUAGCGGGCUCUUCGCAAGAAUCCCCCCGGGCCCGCCGCACCCAGGCGGCGGCCGGCAGAGGGCGCUGCUCGGGCAUGGCGGAGGAGCGGCCGGGGGCCUGGUUCGGCUUCGGUUUCUGCGGCUUCGGGCAGGAGCUGGGCUCCGGACGCGGGCGCCAGGUGCACAGCCCCAGUCCGCUGCGGGCGGGCGUCGACAUCUGCCGCGUGAGCGCGAGCUGGAGCUACACCGCCUUCGUGACCCGUGAGCACUCCCCGCCCCGUCCCCACUUAUUCCAGCCGCGCUCCCCAGUCGCCUCCCCGCACCGCUGUGGCCAGUCCAGUUUGUCUCCCCCGUUCAGGCCGCCAGCCCCACAUUCUGGGUUGGUUCCCAAUUCGACCCCUUCCCAGGAACACCCCGCUCCCCACACCCCCGCCGCCUCCAUUCUGGCCACCCUGCUCCAAUCCGCCCCGCAGGUGGAGGCCGCUUGGAGCUGUCGGGCUCAGCCAGCGGCGCGGCGGGCCGCUGCAAGGACGCGUGGGCCUCGGAGGGGCUCCUCGCGGUGCUGCGCGCCGGGCCGGGGCCGGGGCCGGGGCCGGAGGCGUUACUGCAGGUCUGGGCGGCCGAAUCGGCGCUGCGUGGGGAGCCAUUGUGGGCCCAGAAUGUGGUGCCCGAGGCCGAAGGGGAAGACGAUCCGGCCGGUGAGGCCCAGGCUGGGAGGCUACCCCUGCUGCCCUGCGCCCGUGCCUACGUGAGCCCGCGGGCGCCCUUCUACCGGCCUCUGGCUCCGGAGCUGCGGGCACGCCAGCUGGAGCUGGGCGCCGAGCACGCGUUGCUGCUGGACGCUGCUGGACAGGUGUUCUCCUGGGGCGGGGGCAGGCAUGGACAGCUGGGCCAUGGGACCCUGGAGGCAGAGCUGGAGCCACGGCUGUUGGAGGCGUUGCAGGGCCUAGUCAUGGCUGAGGUGGCCGCGGGGGGCUGGCAUUCUGUGUGUGUGAGUGAGACUGGGGAUAUUUAUAUCUGGGGCUGGAAUGAAUCAGGGCAGCUGGCCCUGCCCACCAGGAACCUGGCAGAGGAUGGAGAGACUGUCGCAAGGGAAGCCACAGAACUGAAUGAAGAUGGUUCUCAGGUGAAGAGAACGGGUGGGGCUGAGGAUGGAGCCCCUGCCCCCUUCAUAGCUGUCCAGCCCUUCCCGGCAUUACUGGAUCUCCCCAUGGGCUCAGAUGCAGUCAAGGCCAGCUGUGGAUCCCGGCACACAGCUGUGGUGACACGUGAGUGGGGCUGGGAGGCACUCUGCUCCACUCGAGCUGGUGCCUACGGAAGGGGGUGUGGUCGACGGAAAAACUUCUGUCUUAAGGCUUCUGUGGCUCAUACAGAGCAGCUACCUUGCUCAGUGGAUAAGCCCCAACCCCCGUGUUGUUUCACAGUAGUUCCCCCAGCCUGUCAGGCCCAGAAGUUUCUUCCUUCUGGUGGGAGGCUGAUGCUUUCUGUCCUCCCUGCACGGCCACAGACACAUUCCCUGCCCGCCGCCGCCUCUGACAGCAGGGACUGUCCAGUCUGGCAUGGAAGACUGCGGCGCUCGGUAGCGUGGCACACAGGAAGAUCCGCCACUUUUUCCCUCGGGAUCCUCUGCCAUGCCACGUGUGAUCAGCCAGUUGUUAAGAGAAUAUGUUGUUCCAUGCCAGGCAGAUCUCAUGAGGAUUGUAAUAUGCUAGCUGUGGGCUGUGCCAAGCUGGGCUGGACAGAUGCCUUGCCAAAGAACCGUAGUGACAAUUAUCGAUUGUCCUUUUGCUUUCAGGAACAGGGGAGCUCUACACCUGGGGCUGGGGUAAGUAAAAGGAUUGUUUUUGUGACCCUGAAACCAAGGAGAAGAAAGACCUGGGAGUAUAGGGCAGGUGACAAAGCCAACAAGACUGGAGGAAGCAGGGGCCUCGGCCAGGUCACUGGGAGGAACAGGACUGCUCCCUCCCUGGGGUUGGAACAGACAUAGGCGCGCUCAGUCCGAGGCCAGACAGGGGAGACAUGGGGAGGAUAUCGGUACCACCCGCCUACCUCUCUGAAAGACUGUCUUAAGGGAGUAUCCAACCAGCACUUACAAAGCAGCUUUUUGUGGAUGUGACACUGGGUGGAGAAAAAGAUUCGAUGGAAGUGUGUGCUCUGAACAUCUUAGCUUGGAUAGCAGGGAAGUCUGGAGGAGCGUCUUGCCUGGAGUGGCUGGUCGCCACUAGCCUCUUGGGGAUCCCCAAGGUUGCCUGGCUCUGGGUCUCUUGGAUUCACAGAGCAGUGGGGCAUAAUCCCAGCCCUUCAUUUGAUAGUCUGGGCCCCUUCCUGGAGGGAAAGCAGCAGCAAGACCCAGUGGAGACGAUGGCAAAGGGGCUGGUUUCACUUUAGGUAAAUAUGGACAGCUGGGCCACGAGGACACCACCAGCUUGGAUCGGCCUCGCCGUGUGGAAUACUUUGUAGACAAGCAACUCCAAGUAAAGGCUGUCACCUGUGGGCCGUGGAACACCUACGUGUAUGCUGUGGAGAAAGGGAAGAGCUGACAUGUGUACGUAUAUGUAUAUACAACACCUGUGAGACCCCCAUUCAGGUCAAGGAAAACCAUUGCCUGCACCCCAAGGGCCCCAUAUUUGCCCCUCCCCAUCACAGUCCUGCCCUUCACCCUCAAGCACGGUCCUAAACUUGUCUGCACUUUAGAAACACCUGGAGAGCAUUGAAAACUCUGCUGCCUAAGGUCAGCAUCAAUCAAAACAAUGAAAUCAAUGAAACAAUGAAACCAGAGCCUCUAGGUGUGUGGCCUGGAUAGUGGUAGAUUCAAAGCUCCACCCACCUCAUCCCAGGUACAUUUGAUGUGCAGCUGAGAUUGGGGCACAUUCCGGGUCAUCGUCUUCUGUCAGUCAUUUCCCUGCUUUCGUUUGAAUUUUACCAUUCUUGUAUGCAGCCUUAUAUGACAUAGUUGUGUUUGCUUUUGAGUGUUAGAUAAAUGGAAUCCUGUG
RNAcentral lists this small RNA (3170 nucleotides) under Pan troglodytes (chimpanzee). RNAcentral describes it as "retained intron". The record is from RNAcentral. Lineage: Eukaryota; Metazoa; Chordata; Mammalia; Primates; Hominidae.